This 491-nucleotide ribosomal RNA is filed under the name uncultured bacterium. RNAcentral describes it as "bacterial SSU rRNA". It matches the Rfam family "Bacterial small subunit ribosomal RNA", at positions 28 to 526 of the family's 1533-position model. The record is from RNAcentral.
GACGAACGCUGGCGGCGCGCCUAACACAUGCAAGUCGAACGGGGUCUUUUAGGAAGCUUGCUUCCUGGCUGACCUAAUGGCGGACGGGUGAGUAACACGUGAGCAACCUGCCGAAGAGUGGGGGAUAACGCUUGGAAACGAACGCUAAUACCGCAUAACAUCGGGGAAAGGCAUCUUUUUCCGAUCAAAGGAGCAAUCCGCUUUUUGAUGGGCUCGCGCCCGAUUAGAUAGUUGGUGCGGUAACGGCUCACCAAGUCGACGAUCGGUAGCCGGACUGAGAGGUUGAACGGCCACAUUGGGACUGAGACACGGCCCAGACUCCUACGGGAGGCAGCAGUGGGGAAUAUUGCACAAUGGGGGAAACCCUGAUGCAGCGACGCCGCGUGGGUGAAGACGGCCUUCGGGUUGUAAAGCCCUGUCUUCGGGGACGAUAAUGACGGUACCCGAGGAGGAAGCCACGGCUAACUACGUGCCAGCCGCCGCCGUAAAAC